AUUGAACGCUGGCGGCAUGCUUUACACAUGCAAGUCGAACGGCAGCGCGGGCUUCGGCCCGGCGGCGAGUGGCGAACGGGUGAGUAAUACAUCGGAACGUGCCCAGUAGUGGGGGAUAGCUCGGCGAAAGCCGGAUUAAUACCGCAUACGACCUGAGGGUGAAAGCGGGGGAUCCUCGGACCUCGCGCUAUUGGAGCGGCCGAUGGCAGAUUAGCUAGUUGGUGGGGUAAAGGCCUACCAAGGCGACGAUCUGUAGCUGGUCUGAGAGGACGACCAGCCACACUGGGACUGAGACCCGGCCCAGACUCCUACGGGAGGCAGCAGUGGGGAAUUUUGGACAAUGGGCGAAAGCCUGAUCCAGCAAUGCCGCGUGUGUGAUGAAGGCCUUCGGGUUGUAAAGCACUUUUGGCGGGAACGAAAAGGACUGUGCCAAUACCACGGUUCGAUGACGGUACCCGCAGAAUAAGCACCGGCUAACUACGUG
Molecule: ribosomal RNA, 484 nt
Filed under: uncultured bacterium
Lineage: Bacteria
Description: partial 16S ribosomal RNA
Rfam family: Bacterial small subunit ribosomal RNA
Source: RNAcentral